Molecule: long non-coding RNA, 1087 nt
Filed under: Homo sapiens (human)
Lineage: Eukaryota; Metazoa; Chordata; Mammalia; Primates; Hominidae
Description: HSALNT0365515
Source: RNAcentral
GGGGACCUGACCCCUUCCACCCAGGAGUCUGUCUGCCUCCUGACACUGUCCAUGCCGCCCAGGCUGCUAGCCCCCAGGGGCACCUGCAGGCCAGCACCUAGCUGCCCUCAGCCCCCCACCACUCAGCUUCCCCCGUACCCAGCCUUUGUGCUCCUGGAUGCUCAAAGUCUGGAGGGGGCCGAGGCAGCAGGGGGCUGGUGUAUCAGUGCUGCCCACAGCGUGCACACACCCGGCUACACCCAGCCGGCCUGUGACAGCUCCAGGGUUCAUUCAGCCCCAACCCUGCUCUGAGAUUGGAGUGGGUGCCAGGAGUGGCGAGCGGCUAGGCAGUGGGAGCAGACAACCCUGAGCCUUCGCGGGAGGGCCUUCCGGGUCCUCGAGGGUACAGAGAGCAGAAAUGCCAGAGUCCCGUGCCUGGGAGGGUGGGGCUCCCCUGGCCUCCUGGAGCUUGCAGACAGCCCUGGCCACGCCUCCUCACAGCCUGGGUUGCUGCAGAUGAGAGCGGCGAUGGGACCAGGGUCCAGAGCAAUGGAGGCUCCGUGCCUGGGAGCGGGUUCUGCCGGCUGCGGAAGGAUAGGGGUGGCACAGUCAGCCGCCUUGGGGACACAGGACAUAGGGGACCCACCACCGCCACUGCCGCUCCCGCAGCAGCUCGUGCCGCCACCACCCACGCCUCCUUGCUGCAGCCAGCGUGACGACAGCGGCUGCUCCGGACCACCCGCAAGCGGCCAUCACGGCAAGGGACUAACCGUCGUGUAACUACUGUCUGCCACAAAAAUCUCUAUUAUUAUCUUUAAAGGGAAACUUCUUCUUAAACUAAAAAUGCUUUUGUUCCUAAUAUAUUGGGACAUCGGGACAUUUCCUGGGUCUGUUGUUUCCUGGGUCUGUUUGGUAAACCUUGUUAACCUGUUCCCUUCACUAUAAACAUCCUGUGACUUAGAAUGCCUAGCCUCUUGGGAAGGCAUCCCAGCAGCUUCCUCAUUUUACCCAGCCCCUGUUCAAGAGGGAGUCUCUCUGGUUCCAACACCUCUGACAGUUUUGAAGAGAAAAAAAUAAUCCUCUUGAAUAAAUCUUCUGAUAAUUCUCA